RNAcentral lists this ribosomal RNA (468 nucleotides) under uncultured bacterium. RNAcentral describes it as "partial 16S ribosomal RNA". It matches the Rfam family "Bacterial small subunit ribosomal RNA", at positions 28 to 507 of the family's 1533-position model. The record is from RNAcentral.
GACGAACGCUGGCGGCGUGCUUAACACAUGCAAGUCGAACGGAAAGGCCCUGCUUUUGUGGUGUGCUCGAGUGGCGAACGGGUGAGUAACACGUGUGUAACCUGCCCUUGUCUUUGGUAUAACUUCAGGAAACUGUGGCUAAUCCCGGAUAGGAGCUCCUGCUGCAUGGUGUGGGUUGGAAAGUUUCGGCGGUUGGGGAUGGACGCGCGGCUUAUCAGCUUGUUGGUGGGGUAGUGGCUUACCAAGGCUUUGACGGGUAGCCGGCCUGAGAGGGUGACCGGCCACAUUGGGACUGAGAUACGGCCCAGACUCCUACGGGAGGCAGCAGUGGGGAAUAUUGCACAAUGGGCGGAAGCCUGAUGCAGCGACGCCGCGUGCGGGAUGACGGCCUUCGGGUUGUAAACCGCUGUCGGCUGUGACGAAGCGUGAGUGACGGUAAUGGGUAAAGAAGCACCGGCUAACUACGUG